GCCGAGUGACGCUUGGAGGAGGAAGCGCAGCCCUUUUCCCCUCCCUCGCUGCCCCAGGCCCAGCGGGAGCCCCCCCAGUGCGCCUGUGCGGAGGCCUACUUGAUUAUGUGUGCCCUCUUCGGGCGCCAGCGUUAGCGGCCGGGUGGAGAUGGUCUCUAGCGACCGGCCCGUGUCACUGGAGGACGAGGUCUCCCAUAGUAUGAAGGAGAUGAUUGGAGGCUGUUGCGUUUGCUCAGACGAGAGAGGCUGGGCCGAGAACCCUCUGGUUUAUUGCGACGGGCACGGCUGCAGCGUCGCGGUGCAUCAAGCUUGCUAUGGCAUUGUUCAAGUACCCACUGGACCAUGGUUUUGCAGGAAAUGUGAAUCUCAAGAGAGAGCAGCCAGAGUGAGAUGUGAACUAUGUCCCCAUAAGGAUGGAGCUUUAAAAAGAACAGAUAAUGGGGGUUGGGCUCAUGUGGUUUGUGCCCUGUAUAUUCCAGAGGUACAAUUUGCCAAUGUUUCUACAAUGGAACCAAUCGUUUUACAGUCUGUUCCCCAUGAUCGCUACAAUAAGACAUGCUACAUUUGUGAUGAACAAGGAAGAGAAAGCAAAGCAGCCACUGGUGCUUGCAUGACAUGUAAUAAACAUGGAUGUCGGCAAGCUUUUCAUGUAACCUGUGCUCAAUUUGCUGGACUUCUAUGUGAAGAAGAAGGUAAUGGUGCAGAUAACGUCCAGUAUUGUGGCUACUGUAAAUACCAUUUUAGUAAGCUGAAAAAGAGCAAACGGGGAUCAAAUAGGUCAUAUGAUCAAAGUUUAAGUGAUUCUUCUUCUCACUCUCAGGAUAAACAUCAUGAGAAAGAGAAAAAAAAAUAUAAAGAAAAAGACAAACACAAACAAAAACACAAGAAGCAACCGGAGCCAUCACCUGCAUUGGUUCCAUCCUUGACUGUUACUACAGAAAAAACUUACACAAGCACUAGCAACAACUCUAUAUCUGGAUCAUUGAAGCGCUUGGAAGAUACUACGGCACGAUUUACAAAUGCAAAUUUCCAGGAAGUCUCUGCACACACCUCUAGUGGAAAAGAUGUUUCAGAGGCUAGAGGGUCAGAGGGCAAGGGGAAGAAAUCUUCAGCUCACAGCUCAGGUCAAAGGGGAAGGAAACCUGGUGGUGGAAGAAAUCCAGGAACAACUGUGUCAGCAGCUAGCCCAUUUCCACAAGGCAGUUUUUCAGGAACUCCAGGCAGUGUAAAAUCAUCUUCUGGAAGUUCAGUGCAGUCUCCCCAAGAUUUCUUGAGCUUUACAGACUCAGAUCUGCGUAAUGACAGUUAUACUCACUCCCAACAGUCAUCAUCAACCAAAGAUGUACAUAAAGGAGAGUCUGGAAGCCAGGAAGGGGGGGUAAAUAGUUUUAGUUCCUUAAUUGGUCACCCUGCGACCUCAGCUAUUGCACAGCCUAAAAGCUUUGAAAAUUCACCUGGAGAUUUGGGUAGUUCCAGCCUUCCUACAGCAGGAUAUAAGCGGGCUCAAACUUCUGGCAUAGAAGAAGAAACUAUAAAGGAAAAGAAAAGAAAAGGAAAUAAACAAAGUAAGCAUGGGCCUGGUAGACCCAAAGGAAACAAAAAUCAAGAGAAUGUUUCUCAUCUCUCAGUUUCUUCUGCUUCACCAACAUCAUCUGUAGCCUCAGCUGCAGGAAGCGUAACAAGCUCUAGUCUCCAGAAAUCUCCUACAUUGCUCAGGAAUGGAAGUUUACAGAGUCUUAGUGUUGGCUCAUCUCCAGUUGGUUCAGAAAUUUCCAUGCAGUAUCGGCAUGAUGGAGCUUGUCCAACAACUACUUUCUCAGAGUUGCUGAAUGCAAUACACAAUGACAGAGAUGACAGUUCUCCACUAACAAAGCAGGAACUUAAAUUCAUAGGUAUUUAUAACAGCAAUGAUGUAGCAGUAUCCUUUCCAAAUGUAGUAUCUGGCUCAGGAUCUAGCACUCCUGUCUCCAGCUCUCAUUUACCUCAGCAGUCCUCUGGUCAUUUGCAACAAGUGGGAGCUCUCUCCCCCUCAGCUGCAUCAUCUGUAACCCCUGCUGUUGUUACAACUCAGGCCAAUACCCUAUCUGGAUCUUCUUCUCUUAGUCAGGCACCAUCUCAUAUGUAUGGCAAUAGAUUAAAUCCAAAUCCAUCAAUGGCAGCUCUCAUAGCUCAGUCUGAAAGCAAUCAAACAGAUCAAGAUCUUGGAGACAAUAGCCGAAGCCUAGUUGGCAGAGGAAGCUCACCCAGAGGAAGUCUCUCACCACGAUCCCCUGUAAGCAACUUACAGAUUCGCUAUGACCAACCAGGAAACAGCAGUUUGGAAAAUCUUCCUCCAGUAGCAGCCAGUAUAGAACAGCUUUUGGAGAGGCAGUGGAGUGAAGGACAACAGUUUUUAUUAGAACAGGGGACUCCUAGUGACAUUUUAGGAAUGCUGAAGUCAUUACAUCAACUUCAAGUUGAAAAUCGAAGAUUAGAGGAACAGAUUAAAAACUUAACUGCCAAAAAGGAACGUCUUCAGUUAUUGAACGCACAACUUUCAGUGCCUUUUCCGACAAUAACAACAAAUCCUAGUCCAUCUCAUCAGAUACAUGCGUUUUCAGCACAGACUGCUCCUACUACUGAUUCCUUGAACAGCAGUAAGAGUCCUCAUAUAGGAAACAGCUUUUUACCUGAUAAUUCUCUUCCUGUAUUAAAUCAGGACUUAACCUCCAGUGGACAAAGCACCAGCAGUUCAUCGGCUCUUUCUACUCCUCCUCCUGCUGGGCAGAGUCCAGCUCAACAAGGCUCAGGAGUUAGUGGAGUUCAGCAGGUCAAUGGUGUGACAGUAGGGACACUAGCUAGUGGGAUGCAGACUGUGACAUCCACCAUUCCUGCUGUGUCUGCAGUGGGUGGAAUAAUUGGCGCUUUGCCAGGGAGCCAACUGGCAAUUAAUGGCAUCGUAGGAGCUUUAAAUGGGGUCAUUCAGACCCCUGUGACAAUAUCCCAGAACCCUACCCCCCUGACCCACACAACUGUACCACCUAAUGCAACACAUCCUAUGCCAGCUACACUGACUAACAGUGCCUCAGGACUAGGAUUACUUUCUGACCAGCAAAGACAAAUACUAAUUCAUCAACAGCAAUUUCAGCAGUUGUUAAAUUCUCAACAGCUCACACCAGAACAGCACCAGGCCUUUCUGUAUCAGCUGAUGCAGCACCAGCAGCACCACCCACCGGAACUUCAGCAGCUGCAGAUCCCUGGCCCUGCGCAGAUACCCAUCAACAACCUUCUUGCAGGUACUCAGGCGCCCCCACUUCACUCGGCUACCACCAACCCCUUCCUCACCAUCCAUGGAGACAAUGCAAGUCAGAAAGUCACAGUCUACUUUACUGGAGUAUAAAUGUGUCCCCUAAAGUCCAGUUGAGGGCAGAACCCUGUUAGAUGAAGGAUAUUGGGAUAUAGAAUGGAGACUGGACAUCAGGAAAAGGAAGAAGGGGAAGAAUGAGAGACUUAGUGAUAAAACUGGGCCUGUAGCUCAAGAGAAAAGUUGACAUUUGAGAAGCAUCUAAAAGUUGCUUAUCCUGCUGCUCUGGCACUUCAUCUGGCUGCUGUUGCAGUCCUUGCUACAGCUAUGAAGAAACGCAACAAGAAACCGCACAACCAAGGAUUGCCACAGGACUUCUUGUAAGGCUUUGAUUAAUUUUCUUGUUGCUUUGUUGCACUGAAAUGGAAUUCCCACAUCCCUACCCCCACCCAAAAGUUUUUGAACUUUCAAAGAAAAUUUAAUAACUUUUGUCAAUGAAAUAAUUUACAUGCAAUGAGUUUAUCAACCCAUGAAAAGUUUAAUGUAGUUGGUGCACAACUAGUUUUGUUAUAAAUUAGAGAUACAAAUAGCAAAACUAAACAUUUGUUCCAUAUACAAGCUACUUGGUCUUGUACAAGUUGGGAUAUGAAAUAUGAUCUCUUAUUUGGGCUCCAUUGUGCUUGCUCUCUGUAAGUCAGAUCUUAAAUUUCAAAGAACUGUCAACUUUCUUUUCCUGUAGUUUUUAUUCAUUAAAUAUUGCAGUUAUAUAGGUCAUCUACUGCAAACUUUGUUUAAAAAGUUGCCUUUCUAAUGAGAUUUGGCCAGUUUUGGUAAUCAAGUUAGGAUGGUAAUGUCUACUUCUGCUAAAGGUAAUUUUCAUUUGCUGAAUGCUUUUUCUUAAUGUUUUUAAAGAGACCUUGAGUUCUAAGGCUGCUGGGGAAACUAGAUCAAUUCAAAGCAAAAGACUUCUUUCAGAAAGAGGCUACUCUGGAAACUGCUGGUAGGGUCUGGCCUUAACCAAGUGCCUAUUAGCACCUUCCGGGGUGGAAGCGGCUCUAGACAGCAGGUCUCCAGCCAGCCAGCCCUGUGAGUAGAAGAACAGCACUUUCACCAGCAGCCUUCCCCAUGCUUCUGCCUUUAUUGAAAACUUUCUAUGCCACUGUAGAUAGCUCAGGCAAAACUAUUACCUGGGUAUUUAUCCACUAAUGAGUCACAAGAAAAUGAGUGGAUUUUAUAAGAGUAUAUGUUUGUUUUAUUUAAAUAGCUUCCCAUUACUGACCACACACACACACACACACACACACACACACUCUCUCUCACACUCACACUCACACUCACACUCUCACACACCACUACAGUUCCCAAAGCAGGUGAAACCUGUAUUAUAUCCUUUCCACUUCAGGUAGCCAUGCUCUUGAUGUGACAGUACGGCAGAGUAAUAAAUUAACAAUUGGGGACAUAAUCAUUGAUCUGUUCUUAAAUGUGUGAAUUAUUAGUGGAAAAGACCCAGCUGUAAUUAGACCUCCACUGUGUACUUAGCUGGAAGAACAUGUUAAUUCUGCAAUAUGUCUCUUGGUUAAACAUUGCACAGUUCUUACCUCAUUUCUGUAAAUAAGGUUUUGUGAAUCUGUUUUGUAUUGUGAAAAAUUCAUAAGAUAACAUUGAUAUUUUGAUUUGUAAUAUUUCUAAUUGGUAGAUUUAAUUGAAAAGUAAAAUUAAUUUAUUUUUAUAUGUUCAGGGGAAUUUUAAAGAAAGCCAAGCCUUUUGUAGAUAAUUAAAAAAAUCAGUGUGGUUUAUUUUACUUAUUUAACCCACUGGUUGUUAUUCUGUAACGAUUUGUAUAAAUGGUAAAUUUUGAAUGUGUUGUUAUUUUACCUAGAUGUAAAAUUCCACAUGUAUUAAAAUGUACAAAGUUUUUGUUAAUAAAAUUUAAUAAUGUUCAUAA
Marmota monax (woodchuck) is the source of this 5228-nucleotide RNA transcript. It is a transcript of the gene named MLLT10 histone lysine methyltransferase DOT1L cofactor, with no coding region annotated. The record is from RefSeq and is a predicted model, not a curated record. The transcript is spliced from 25 exons. NCBI's taxonomy places the organism in Eukaryota, Metazoa, Chordata, Mammalia, Rodentia, Sciuridae.